Molecule: ribosomal RNA, 406 nt
Filed under: uncultured bacterium
Lineage: Bacteria
Description: partial 16S ribosomal RNA
Rfam family: Bacterial small subunit ribosomal RNA
Source: RNAcentral
AUUGAACGCUGGCGGCAGGCCUAACACAUGCAAGUCGAACGAGUGGCGGACGGGUGAGUAAUGUCUGGGAAACUGCCUGAUGGAGGGGGAUAACUACUGGAAACGGUAGCUAAUAACGCAUACCAUCGGAUGUGCCCAGAUUGGAUUAGCUAGUAGGUGGGGUAAAGGGUCACCUAGGCGAAGAUCCCUACCUGGUCUGCGAGGAUGACCGGCCACACUGGAACUGAGACACGGUCCAGACUCCUACGGGAGGCAGCAUUAGGGAAUAUUGCACAAUGGGCGAAAGCCUGAUGCAGCCAUGCCGCGUGUGUGAAGAAGGCCUUCGGGUUGUAAAGUGCUUUUAGCGGGGAAGCGUUACCCACAUAGGAAGCACCGGCUAACUACGUGCCAGCCGCCGCGGUAAUUC